ACGCGAAGAACCUUACCCAGACUUGACAUGCAGUGGACGAUGGUAGAAAUAUCAUUUCCCUUCGGGGCCGCUGCACAGGUGCUGCAUGGCUGUCGUCAGCUCGUGCCGUGAGGUGUUGGGUUAAGUCCCGCAACGAGCGCAACCCUUAUUGUUAGUUGCCAACACGUAAUGGUGGGAACUCUAGCAAGACUGCCUGGGUUAACCAGGAGGAAGGUGAGGAUGACGUCAAGUCCGCAUGGCCCUUAUUUGGGGCGCCAANCACGUGCUAAAAUGGUCGGUACAGAAGGACAAUCNCCAGNAGGUAGAGCAAAUCCGUAAAGCCGGCCCCAGUUCAGAUUGUAGUCUGCAACUCGACUACAUGAAGAUGGAAUUGCUAGUAAUGGCGAGUCAGCAACAUCGCCGUGAAUACGUUCUCGGGUCUUGUACACACCG
Molecule: ribosomal RNA, 432 nt
Filed under: uncultured bacterium
Lineage: Bacteria
Description: bacterial SSU rRNA
Rfam family: Bacterial small subunit ribosomal RNA
Source: RNAcentral